RNAcentral lists this ribosomal RNA (293 nucleotides) under uncultured bacterium. RNAcentral describes it as "partial 16S ribosomal RNA". It matches the Rfam family "Bacterial small subunit ribosomal RNA", at positions 505 to 796 of the family's 1533-position model. The record is from RNAcentral.
GUGCCAGCAGCCGCGGUAAUACGUAGGCAGCGAGCGUUGUUCGGAGUUACUGGGCGUAAAGGGUGUGUAGGCGGUUGUUUAAGUUUGGUGUGAAAUCUCCCGGCUCAACUGGGAGGGUGCGCCGAAUACUGAAUGACUUGGAGUGCGGGAGAGGAAAGUGGAAUUCCUGGUGUAGCGGUGAAAUGCGUAGAUAUCAGGAGGAACACCGGUGGUGUAGACGGCUUUCUGGACCGUAACUGACGCUGAGACACGAAAGCGUGGGUAGCAAACAGGAUUAGAAACCCCCGUAGUCC